UCUACCUGAAGAUUCAUAUAGAAUCUCUCAAGGGACACCGAAUAACUAAAACAAUCUUGAAAAAUAAGAACAAAAUUAAAGGUCUCACACUUUCCAAUUUCAAAACUUACUACUACUUACUUGGGUGUGGCUUAAGGAUAGACAUACAGAUCAAUGGAAUAGAAUCAAGAGCUCAGAAAUAAAUUCUCGAAUCAUAUGAUUUGAUUAAAUGAUUUUCAAAAUGGUGCCAAGAUCACUCAGUAGGGGAAAGGACAGUCUUUAAACAGAUGGUAUUAGGAACAUUGGAUGUCCGUAUGUGAAAGAAUGAAGUUGGACUCUUACCUAACACCAUAUAUAAAAAUUAACUCAAAAUGGAUCAAAGACCUAAACCCAUAAAAGUUGAGAAGAAAAUAUAGGAGAAAAGCCUUAUGAUCUGGACUUGGCAAUGAUUUCAUGGGUAUGACACCAAAAGAGCAGAUAAUAAAAAUAAAAGUAGAUAUAUCGGGCUACAUCAAAAUUUAAAACUUUUGGCCUGGCGUGGUGGCUCACACCUGUAAUCCCAGCACUUUGGGAGGCCAAGGUGGGUAGAUCGCUUUAGCUCAGGAGUUCAAGAUCAGCCUGGCCAACAUGGUGAAAACUCAUCUCUACAAAAAAAGAAAAAAAAAUUAGUCAGGCAUGGCCGUGUGCACCUGUAGUCCCAGUUACUCAAGAGGCUGAGGUGGGAGGAGCACCUGAGCCCAGGAGGUCGAGGCUGCAGUGGGCCAUGAUCACGCCACUGCACUCCAGCCUGGGUGACAGAGUGAGACCCUGUAUUAAAAUUUUUUUUUUCAAACUUUGGUGCAUUCAACGAUCACAAUCAAUAGAGUAAAAAGGCAAUCCAAAGAAUGGGAAAAAUUGUUUGCAAAUCAUAUGUCUGAUAAGGGAUCUAUAUCCAGAAUACAGAAAGAAGUACAAGUCAACAACAAGAAGUCAAACAACCCAAGUUUAAAAUAGGCAAAGGACUUCAAUAGACAUUUCUUCAAAGAUGUACAAAGGGCCAAUAAGCACAUAAUAAGUUGCUCAACAUUAGGGAAAUGCAAAUCAAAAUCACAAUGAGAUACCAUCUCACACCCAUUAGGAUGGCUGUUAUCAAGCAAAUGGAAAAUAACAAGUAUUGGCAAGGAUGUGGAGAAAUUGGAAUCUUUGUGCAUUGCUUGUGAGAAUACAAAACGGUGCAGCCACUGUGGAAGACAUUCUGGCAAUUCCUCAAAAAAUAAAACAUAGAAUAACCC
RNAcentral lists this long non-coding RNA (1250 nucleotides) under Homo sapiens (human). RNAcentral's name for it is "HSALNT0194641". The record is from RNAcentral. Lineage: Eukaryota; Metazoa; Chordata; Mammalia; Primates; Hominidae.